GACGUAGGGCGCGAGCGUUGUCCGGAUUUAUUGGGCGUAAAGAGCUCGUAGGCGGCUCAUUGCGUCAACCGUGAAAACCUGCCGCUCAACGGUAGGCUUGCGGUUGAUACGGGUGGGCUGGAGUUCGGUAGGGGAGACUGGAAUUCCUGGUGUAGCGGUGAAAUGCGCAGAUAUCAGGAGGAACACCGGUGGCGAAGGCGGGUCUCUGGGCCGAUACUGACGCUGAGGCGCGAAAGCUAGGGGAGCAAACGGG
RNAcentral lists this ribosomal RNA (253 nucleotides) under uncultured bacterium. RNAcentral's name for it is "partial 16S ribosomal RNA". It matches the Rfam family "Bacterial small subunit ribosomal RNA", at positions 524 to 776 of the family's 1533-position model. The record is from RNAcentral.